GCGGAUAUGGUCGAGUGGUAAAAUAUCUCCUUGCCAAGGAGAAGACGCGGGUUCGAUUCCCGCUAUCCGCC
Molecule: transfer RNA, 71 nt
Filed under: Sagittaria trifolia
Lineage: Eukaryota; Viridiplantae; Streptophyta; Magnoliopsida; Alismatales; Alismataceae
Also listed under: 2 other names
Description: tRNA-Gly
Rfam family: tRNA
About the family: Transfer RNA (tRNA) molecules are approximately 80 nucleotides in length. Their secondary structure includes four short double-helical elements and three loops (D, anti-codon, and T loops).
Source: RNAcentral